This 127-nucleotide small RNA is filed under the name Marmota monax (woodchuck). Lineage: Eukaryota; Metazoa; Chordata; Mammalia; Rodentia; Sciuridae. The record is from RNAcentral.
GCUGGGCACGGUGGUGCAUGCUUGUAAUCCCAACCCUGUGGGAGGCUGAGGCAGGAGGAUUGCAAGUUCUAGGCCAGCCUCAGCAACUUAGCGAGGCCCUAUGCAACUUAGUGAGAACCUGUCUCAA